Long non-coding RNA from Ornithorhynchus anatinus (platypus), 267 nucleotides. RefSeq lists it as uncharacterized. Lineage: Eukaryota; Metazoa; Chordata; Mammalia; Monotremata; Ornithorhynchidae. The record is from RefSeq and is a predicted model, not a curated record. The transcript has 2 exons.
UCGGGGGUCCGGGCCGGGGGGCGCGCAGCCGAGCCCCGCCGCCGCUUGGGCCCGCUCCCCCCGGGAAGGGCCGUCCGAACGGGAGCGGCUCCACCGACCCCAGCGCAGGUCGGCCGGACCCCGGGGGGACCCCGGCCCACCCCACCGCACCGCACCGGGGGGGGGCGAUCCGGGAGGGAAGGAGGCCGGACGGGUCCAGAGACAGAAGCCGGACAGGACCGGAGACAGAAGCCGGACAGGACCGGAGAUAGAGGCCAUUCAGGUCCA